AACCCACUCCAGUGUUCUUGCCUGAGAAUCCCACGGACCGAGGAGCCUGGCGGGCUACAGUCCAUGGAGUCGCAAAGAGUCGGACACGACUGAGCAACUAACACUUUCACUUUCUGCCCCAAUACCCCACACGUCUGAACCUGAAUACCUGAGUGGGUCCCACUGGCAGGAAGAGAGGCUCCUAGAGGCCCAGUCCUCCCCAAGGCUCCUCAGCUUUGGGGCCUGGAUUGACUGUUCCAGGACUCUGAUGGGCGGCUGGGGUGGACGACGGGUAGAGGCUGCCUCCCCAGUGACUGGGACAGGCCUAGCCUUGUCUCCACAGGUGUCCACGGACAGGACUUUGCAAUCCAGAGGAUGGGUGUUGUGGUGCAGGCUGCUGACCACUGUGUCCAGGGUCUUCUCUUACGGGCCCAAGGCGCCUGCAACCUGGAGUCAGCCCAAGGCUCUUUCUAAAUCCCCAAACCCUUCCAGCCCUUCAUUCCGCCAGCCUGCAGAUUCCUCGUCCCAAUACAGAUGUUGCUUCCACCAGGGGGAGAUUCCUCAUUGAGCUUUCUUUCAACAACGCCUUACGCACAUAUUUGUCCCCCAAAGACCCCACCUACCUUGACCUUUUCCCUCGUGCCUCUUCGCUGUGACCCUGGCAGCACCUCAAUCAGGAUCCAGAGGUGCCAGGGCUGUAGGCCCCGCCCUCCCCGGAGGCCCCGCCCUGUAUCAACCAUGGGCUGCGUCUUCCUCAAACAGGCCCCGCCCCGCCUUGGUACAGAGGCCCUUCCUGAUUGGUGCCUUCACAGUCCGUGCCUUCCCAUUGGCUUGAGGCCCUGAUCUCUCAACUCCAGCGGUGGAACCCUUGGUUCCCUCACGUCCCGGGUCAGAUCGGUUCUCUUUGAUGACCCUCGGCCCACCCUGGUCUCCUCACUCCAGCUGCUUCAUGUUAGCCGAAGGCAAAGGAGCCUGGACGCGGACACAGGGAGCCGCCCCCAACACGUACCUUCACUCGUCAGUGGCUACUGUGCUCAGCCUCUCCAGGCCAACAGGCAGCCUGAGCCGUCAAUCUUCUCCUCUGCCAAUCAGCGCGCCAGCCAGGCCGGCCCUCUAGUCACGGCUCGGUACUGAAGGAUGGCAAGUCCCGAAGGCUCCCAGGGACGCGUGCGCGCGGGUUAGGGGGCUUCCCACCAGCUGCCUGGGAGAGGGAUAGGGAGGGAAAGGCAGAGCUCCCGGGACUCAGCCCUGUUGCGCUUUCCUGAGAGGACUCUCUCCUCCUUCCAUCCUCCCUUGGGAGCUAUACUGAGUCCUAGCACUGAGUGGCCCAACUCUGCCUAUGAAUAGACGAAGGUGCUUGGACACUGGCUAAGGGGAUACUCCUGAUCCACCGAGGUCGGGCCUGUGAGGAGGCAAGAGGGGUUCUCCAGCCUGAUGAGGUCGCGCGAGCCCUUCCACACUCUACUCCAAGACACGGGCCAGGUAGCUCCAGCCUGCCAGGCCUAAACUCCCGGUGAACCCUCGCAUCUGGAGAUCCAGGAUGCUCACACUCCAUGCUCUUUGCCAAAUGUUUGUGAAACCAAGUAAGAUCGGCCUUGCCCGCGCA
Long non-coding RNA from Bubalus bubalis (water buffalo), 1585 nucleotides. RefSeq lists it as uncharacterized. Lineage: Eukaryota; Metazoa; Chordata; Mammalia; Artiodactyla; Bovidae. The record is from RefSeq and is a predicted model, not a curated record. The transcript is spliced from 2 exons.